CCUACGGGCGGCAGCAGUGGGGAAUAUUGCACAAUGGGCGCAAGCCUGAUGCAGCCAUGCCGCGUGUGUGAAGAAGGCCUUCGGGUUGUAAAGCACUUUCAGCGGGGAGGAAGGCGGUGAGGUUAAUAACCUCAUCGAUUGACGUUACCCGCAGAAGAAGCACCGGCUAACUCCGUGCCAGCAGCCGCGGUAAUACGGAGGGUGCAAGCGUUAAUCGGAAUUACUGGGCGUAAAGCGCACGCAGGCGGUCUGUCAAGUCGGAUGUGAAAUCCCGGGCUCAACCUGGGAACUGCAUUCGAAACGGGCAGGCUAGAGUCUUGUAGAGGGGGGUAGAAUUCCAGGUGUAGCGGUGAAAUGCGUAGAGAUCUGGAGGAAUACCGGUGGCGAAGGCGGCCCCCUGGACAAAGACUGACGCUCAGGUGCGAAAGCGUGGGGAGCAAACAGGAUUAGAUACCCGAGUAGUC
This 464-nucleotide ribosomal RNA is filed under the name uncultured Klebsiella sp. RNAcentral describes it as "bacterial SSU rRNA". It matches the Rfam family "Bacterial small subunit ribosomal RNA", at positions 338 to 795 of the family's 1533-position model. The record is from RNAcentral. Lineage: Bacteria; Pseudomonadati; Pseudomonadota; Gammaproteobacteria; Enterobacterales; Enterobacteriaceae.